GUAGGUGGCAAGCGUUGUCCGGAAUUAUUGGGGCGUAAAGCGCGCGCAGGCGGUCCUUUAAGGUCUGAUGUGAAAGCCCACGGGCUCAACCGUGGAGGGUCAUUGGAAACUGGGGGACUUGAGUACAGAAGAGGAAAGCGGAAUUCCAAGUGUAGCGGUGAAAUGCGUAGAGAUUUGGAGGAACACCAGUGGCGAAGGCGGCUUUCUGGUCUGUGACUGACGCUGAGGCGCGAAAGCGUGGGGAGCAAACAGGAUUAGAUACCCUGGUAGUCCACGCCGUAAACGAUGAGUGCUAAGUGUUAGGGGGUUUCCGCCCCUUAGUGCUGCAGCUAACGCAUUAAGCACUCCGCCUGGGGAGUACGGCCGCAAAGGCUGA
RNAcentral lists this ribosomal RNA (376 nucleotides) under uncultured organism. RNAcentral's name for it is "partial 16S ribosomal RNA". It matches the Rfam family "Bacterial small subunit ribosomal RNA", at positions 527 to 897 of the family's 1533-position model. The record is from RNAcentral.